CUGACUGCGUGAACUGAACUAAUAGACUGGAGUGAUCUUUUUGAUGUUUUGCUCAGAAUAUUGUUGGUCCUUUGUUUGCUUUUCAGAGUCAAAGAGGCUUUUCUUUUGAGCUAUCAACAGGUUUUGACAGUUUGGUGUGCUCCCAUGAAUAAAAUUUGAGGCAUGCUUAUCUCUCUCUGCCUGGUUUUCUCCAGAGUCUGGAAACUACCUCUGGAGAUCACUAAAACCUAAGCUGUGCUUUCUUGAAGCCCUGUGAGCUGAAAAUUAGAUGUUUCAGUGGGCGCUGCCUCUGGGCCUCUGAGGCAGAGAGUGCUACCCGGAACAAAUCGACCUCUUCCACUCCAGCACCACGUUCAGUGUCCCAUAACGACAAUCCUCUCUCAGCAGGAAGUAGCCAGAAAGAGCACGUCACCCCUCAUCCUUUUAUAACUAUAGGGUGUGGAUUGACAAAGCAGGAGCAUCACCAUUUUGGACAAACACCAGCAUUUUAAGUUCCCCUUGAUUAAAAACCGCCUAAAUCCAGCCCCCAAAAAAUCAGCCUAAUGGCUAAUGUCAGCAUGACCAUAAACCACAAAUGACACCUCCAAUCAGAAAUAUUCCAACCCUGAGAUAAAGCGCCCUCCGACCAGAAACAUUCCUACUCCGAAAUCAAACUCUCCUCUGACCAGAAACAUUUCAAACCUGCGAUAAGCUCUCCCUCCCUAAACCCUUAAAUACCCUUAGUCUGUAAGAGAGAGUGCUCCUGACAGCAAUCAGCCAGAAGCCCCUCUCAGGUUUAUUCUCCAAAAUAAACCUGUCUUGGACUGUUGA
Molecule: long non-coding RNA, 810 nt
Organism: Gorilla gorilla gorilla (western lowland gorilla)
Lineage: Eukaryota; Metazoa; Chordata; Mammalia; Primates; Hominidae
Exons: 2
Source: RefSeq, a predicted model, not a curated record